AGUGAACGCUGGCGGCGUGCCUAAUACAUGCAAGUCGAACGGAGUGGCGCACGGGUGAGUAAUCUAUCGCUAAUCUGCCCCUUGCUUGAGGACAACCUUUAGAAAUGACUGCUAAUACUCCAUAGCAAGGGAUGAGACUAUCGCGUAUCAGCUAGUCGGUGGGGUAACGGCCUACCGAGGCUAUGACGCGUAACUGGUCUGCGAGGAUGAUCAGGCACAUUGGAACUGAGACACGGGCCAAACUCCUACGGGAGGCAGAAGGAGGGAAGAUUGCGCAAUGGGGGAAACCCUGACGCAGCAACGCCGGGUGGAGGAGGAAACUUUUCGGAGCGUAAACUCCUUUUGGGAGGGAAGCGGUACCUAACGAAUAAGCACCGGCUAACUCCGUGCCAGCAGCCGCGGUAAUUC
This 408-nucleotide ribosomal RNA is filed under the name uncultured bacterium. RNAcentral describes it as "partial 16S ribosomal RNA". It matches the Rfam family "Bacterial small subunit ribosomal RNA", at positions 29 to 526 of the family's 1533-position model. The record is from RNAcentral.